UAGCAUUCAGAGUCUGUGCUAGAA
RNAcentral lists this unclassified non-coding RNA (24 nucleotides) under Mus musculus (house mouse). RNAcentral's name for it is "oocyte_clustered_small_RNA8718". The record is from RNAcentral. Lineage: Eukaryota; Metazoa; Chordata; Mammalia; Rodentia; Muridae.